CGUCGCCCCGCCUACACCCGCCCAUCGUGUCGGGUGCAUUGGAAAGGUGCGUAUUCUGGCCUCCCGUGUCGCUCUUGCGCGCGGCUUGCCCAAACGUCGUCCCCUUAGGGCGUCCGAGCGACGCACGCAAUGCUGGUCAAACGAUCGCUCCAUUCGCGUGCUCGUCGGCGUUCUGUUGGAAGGGGAGUCAAAAUGACCCUUUGGAUGAUAGUUUCGAGCUGUCUCCGACC
Molecule: unclassified non-coding RNA, 230 nt
Filed under: Genlisea violacea
Lineage: Eukaryota; Viridiplantae; Streptophyta; Magnoliopsida; Lamiales; Lentibulariaceae
Description: ITS2
Source: RNAcentral